RNAcentral lists this ribosomal RNA (523 nucleotides) under Trichomonascus sp. RNAcentral describes it as "eukaryotic LSU rRNA". The stretch from base 179 to 332 matches the Rfam family "5.8S ribosomal RNA". The record is from RNAcentral. Lineage: Eukaryota; Fungi; Ascomycota; Dipodascomycetes; Dipodascales; Trichomonascaceae.
GGUAACCUGCGGAAGGAUCAUUAACGAAUAGUUCUUCGGAACAUUUCAUCCUUACACACCUGUGAAUUUUUAAAUGAUACUUUGCUUUGGUCAGACUUUAAUUAGUCUGGCCAGAGGUAUACAAACUCCAAAUUUAUUUUAAACAUGAGUCUGAAUUGAAAAAGAAUAAAUUAUUCAAAACUUUCAACAACGGAUCUCUUGGUUCUCGCAUCGAUGAAGAACGCAGCGAAAUGCGAUAAGUAAUGUGAAUUGCAGAAUUUCGUGAAUCAUCGAAUCUUUGAACGCACAUUGCGCCCCUUGGUAUUCCAGGGGGCAUACGUGUAUGAGCGUCAUUUCACUCUUAAACCCUCGGGUUUAGUGUUGAACCUUUCCUUCGAUCUUUUUUCGAAGGAUGGCUCGAAAUGAAAUGGCAAGGCAAUCCAGUCUAAAGCUUACACAGUGUCUUAGGUUUUACCAAUUACGCUGGGCAAAGCUUGCUUGGAUGAGCCGGGCGGUACAAACUUGAUUUAAAAGUUUGACCUCA